GACCUUAUGGUCAAGAUAAUGAUUUUAGACUGCAAUUCUGAAGGGGUAAGAUGUACUUACUAAGGUUU
Molecule: transfer RNA, 68 nt
Filed under: Anelytra obtusa
Lineage: Eukaryota; Metazoa; Arthropoda; Insecta; Orthoptera; Tettigoniidae
Also listed under: 1 other name
Description: tRNA-Cys
Source: RNAcentral